RNAcentral lists this unclassified non-coding RNA (885 nucleotides) under Hevea brasiliensis (rubber tree). The record is from RNAcentral. Lineage: Eukaryota; Viridiplantae; Streptophyta; Magnoliopsida; Malpighiales; Euphorbiaceae.
GGCAGCUCUCUAAGAUCGUUCUAGCAACAGCUGGACAAAUGCAAAAUAUGCUCAUAAAAGUUCUCAUUUCUAUAAAAUAAUCUCCAAUACAAUCUAGCAUAAUUGCACAAAUUAAUAACAAAUUCACAAAUGUUAAUUCUGAAAAGGAAAAAAAAGUAUUUCUCAACUGAAAUACUUAACCAUCUGAAUUUCUUUUUGCUUGAAUCCACACUUCUCAUAAAAUGCUUUGUUCUCUACACUACAAUCAAGAAUGACCUUGUAGCACCCCAUUGAAUGGGCAUGAUCUGUCAGGAACCCAAUAAUUUUCUUUCCCAAUUGUUGCCCCCGAGCAGUGGAAUCAACCACAACAUCUUCAAUGUGCCCAACUUUACCACAAUUCCUUAUGAACUUCUUUUCAAUAAACACACUCCCAGUUGCGAUAAUUUUCCCCGAUCGAUCAUCUUCAAUUACACAAAUAAGAUGGUCAUUGCCAUAAGAGCUGAUCUCUUGAAAUCGCUCUUCAAAUUCCUUGUCUGAUACAGAAUCACACACGGUUAGUUGUUGCAAUAGCUCUAUAAAACCUUUGCUUUUGUCUGAUUUCUCCAACUUGCGGACUUGAAGCUUCAGCUCACUACUCAACGAGUUACUACCAUCCAUCUUAUUUCAGUAUGGCUUCAGUUCUGAAAAUAUGAUGAAGUCCGCCAGAGUUGCUUACAGUUGAGGCUUCCGUUAUCGCAGCAAAGUUGUUUGAUGAAAUGGUUGAAAGAGUUCCCCCAGAUGACCAAAAACGCGGGGGGCUUUCAAAUUUUUUUAUGGGGGAGUGACCAGAAAUUGGGCUAAGAUGGAGAAGUGAAGCUCAUAAUUGAAGUCAAAAAGGGCCUUGGAGGUCCAAUGUCUAUGGGCUCG